UGAGGAGAAACAGCCCUGAGGAGGUUCUGAGGGGAUCUAGGAGGGUUCUGAGGAGGUCCUGAGAGGUUUUGAGGGGGAUCUGUGAGGGGAAACAGCCCUGAGGAGGUUCUGAGGGGGUCUGUGAGGGGAAACAUCCACUGAGGGGAUCUAGAAGGGUUCUGAGGAGAUCCUGAGAGGUUUUGAGUGGGUCUCUGAGGAGAAAUCCCCACCAAGGUGGUUGUGAGGGGAAAUCUCCACCGAGGGGGAUCUAGAAGGGUUCUGAGGAGGUUCUGAGAAGUUCUGAGGAGUUUGUGAGGGCAAACAGCCCUGAGGGGGCUCUGAGGGGAUCUAGGAGGGUUCUGAGGAGGUCCUGAGAGGUUUUGAGGGGAUCUGUGAGGAGAAACAGCCCUGAGGAGGUUCUGAGGGGAUCUAGGAGGGUUCUGAGGAGGUCCUGAGAGGUUUUGAGGGGGGUCUCUGAGGGGAAACAUCCACUGAGGGGAUCUAGGAGGGUUCUGAGGAGGUCCUGAGAGGUUUUGAGGGGGUCUGUGAGGGGAAACAGCCCUGAGGAGGUUUCUGAGGGGAUCCGGACAGGUUCUGUGUGGUCACUGCCAUCCCCUUUCACUUUUCGUGUCCCCUCAGAACUCCCCCUUUUUUCCAGGUGCCACCACUGCCCGUCACCCUUCUCCAGCUGCCACCACUGACCGUCACUCUCCUCCAGCUGCCACCACUGCCCGUGACCCUCUCCAGCUGCCACCACUGACCGUCACUCUUCUCCAGCUGCCACCACUGACCGUCACUCUUCUCCAGCUGCCACCACUGCCCGUCACCCUCUCCAGGUGCCACCACUGACCGUGACCCUCUCCAGCUGCCACCACUGACCGUCACCCUUCUCCAGCUGCCACCACUGACCGUCACCCUCUCCAGCUGCCACCACUGACCGUCACUCUUCUCCAGCUGCCACCACUGACCGUGACCCUCUCCAGGUGCCACCAGCCCCGUGUCCCUCACCGUGGAGUCCCUGCGCGCUCUCUCGCAGCUGCACUCCCCGCAGGGCGGUGGAGUUACCGGCGCCCACCACGGCCACCGGCGGGGCCAGCCCGGGGAGGCGGCGGGCCGCACGUGGCGCCGCUGGCCGGGCUGGGAGGAGGAGGAGGAGUGCCUGGACUUCUACGGCAUGCUGUCCCUGCACCGGCUCUUCGAGGUGCUGGCCGCGCAGCUGACGCCCAGCGACGUGGCCGUGCUGUCCUUCCUGCUGGACGAGGCGCUGG
RNAcentral lists this long non-coding RNA (1247 nucleotides) under Lonchura striata (white-rumped munia). RNAcentral's name for it is "domestica (Bengalese finch) lncRNA (ENSLSDG00000004039.1)". The record is from RNAcentral. Lineage: Eukaryota; Metazoa; Chordata; Aves; Passeriformes; Estrildidae.